CCUACGGGUGGCAGCAGUGAGGAAUAUUGGUCAAUGGUCGGGAGACUGAACCAGCCAAGCCGCGUGAGGGAUGAAGGUCCAGAGUAUCGUAAACCUCUUUUGUCAGGGAACAAAGGCGGGUACGUGUCCCCGGCUGCGUGUACCUGACGAAAAAGCAUCGGCUAACUCCGUACCAGCAGCCGCGGUAAUACUGAGGAUGCGAGCGUUAUCCGGAUUUAUUGGGUUUAAAGGGUGCGCAGGCGGUCUGUUAAGUCAGCGGUCAAAGCCCGGGGCUCAACCCCGGCCCGCCGUUGAAACUGGCAGUCUUGAGUGGGAGAGAAGUAUGCGGAAUGCGCGGUGUAGCGGUGAAAUGCAUAGAUAGCGCGCAGAACUCCGAUUGCGAAGGCAGCAUGCCGGCUCCAAACUGACGCUGAGGCACGAAAGCGUGGGUAUCGAACAGGAUUAGAUACCCGUGUAGUC
This 459-nucleotide ribosomal RNA is filed under the name uncultured bacterium. RNAcentral describes it as "partial 16S ribosomal RNA". It matches the Rfam family "Bacterial small subunit ribosomal RNA", at positions 338 to 795 of the family's 1533-position model. The record is from RNAcentral.